This 908-nucleotide ribosomal RNA is filed under the name uncultured Bacillota bacterium. Its description in RNAcentral is "bacterial SSU rRNA". It matches the Rfam family "Bacterial small subunit ribosomal RNA", at positions 1 to 917 of the family's 1533-position model. The record is from RNAcentral. Lineage: Bacteria; Bacillati; Bacillota.
UGGAUCCAGACUUUGAUCCUGGCUCAGGACGAACGCUGGCGGCGUGCCUAACACAUGCAAGUCGAGCGGAGACAGUGAGUAGCUUGCUACGAACUGUUUUAGCGGCGGACGGGUGAGUAACGCGUGAGCAACCUUUCCCAGACAGGGGAAUAACACACCGAAAGGUGUACUAAUACCGCAUAAGACCACGGGAUCACAUGGUUCUGGGGUAAAAGAUUUAUCGGUUUGGGGUGGGCUCGCGUCCGAUUAGGUAGUUGGUGAGGUAACGGCCCACCAAGCCGACGAUCGGUAGCCGACCUGAGAGGGUGAUCGGCCACAUUGGGACUGAGACACGGCCCAAACUCCUACGGGAGGCAGCAGUGGGGAAUAUUGGGCAAUGGAGGAAACUCUGACCCAGCAACGCCGCGUGGAGGAAGAAGGUUUUCGGAUCGUAAACUCCUGUCCUUGGAGACGAGUAGAAGACGGUAUCCAAGGAGGAAGCCCCGGCUAACUACGUGCCAGCAGCCGCGGUAAUACGUAGGGGGCAAGCGUUGUCCGGAAUAAUUGGGCGUAAAGGGCGCGUAGGCGGCUCGGUAAGUCUGGAGUGAAAGUCCUGCUUUUAAGGUGGGAAUUGCUUUGGAUACUGUCGGGCUUGAGUGCAGGAGAGGUUAGUGGAAUUCCCAGUGUAGCGGUGAAAUGCGUAGAGAUUGGGAGGAACACCAGUGGCGAAGGCGACUAACUGGACUGUAACUGACGCUGAGGCGCGAAAGUGUGGGGAGCAAACAGGAUUAGAUACCCUGGUAGUCCACACUGUAAACGAUGAAUGCUAGGUGUAGGGGGUAUCGACCCCUUCUGUGCCGCAGUUAACACAAUAAGCAUUCCGCCUGGGGAGUACGGCCGCAAGGUUGCAACUCAAAGGAAUUGACGGA